GCUGAGGGCUGAGGGGCUGAGGGGGCUGAGGAGGCUGAGGGGGCUGAGGGCUGAGGGGUUGAGGGAGCUGAGGGCUGAGGAGCUGAGGGGUUGAAGGCUGAGGGGCUGAGGGCUGAGGGGUUGAAGGGGCUGACGGGCUAAGGGGCUGAAGGGGCUGAGGGAGCUGAGGGCUGAGGAGCUGAGGGGUUGAAGGCUGAGGGGCUGAGGGCUGAGGGGUCUGAGGGCUGAGGGGUUGAAGGGGCUGAGGGGCUGAGAGGCUGAAGGGGCUGAGGGGCUGAAGGAGGCUGAGGGCUAAGGGGUGAGGGGGAUUGAGGGUGCUGAGGGGCUGAGAGAGCUGAGGGCUGAGGGGGCUGAGGGAGGCAGAGGGGCUGAGGGAGGCAGAGGGCUGAGAGGCUGAGGCUGGGGUAGGCCUGGAGAUGGGGUGGUCAGCCUGGGGGCUGCAGGGGUCUCCCAAGGCCUCCCUGUGGGUCUUUCGAGGGCACAGGCCCUGCUCCCGGAGGCUGGGAGUUCUGGCCGCAGGGCCUGUCCUUCAGUUACUAGGCUCCAGAGGUCGGUCCCAGCGCCUCAGACACCCACAUCCAGCAGGGACAGGGACAGCUCGCGGCUGGGAUAGCGUCAGCCCUGGGCCACGGCGGCUUGGCACCACAUCCCGUGACAGCUCUGUCUCCAGGCGUGCUCCCCAGCCCUGCCUGAAGAUGAACCCCAAGCCCUCGCCAGUGGCCAGGUAGGAACAAGGCCAGGAGCCCUGUGGAGAGGAGCAGGGGACCACUGCGUGGACGGGGCAGGCUGGGGCACAAAGGGCACUGCUUCCUCUGGAUAGCGCUAACUCCGAGAGCUCGGGCUCCUAUCCCUAGCCGGGGCGCCUGGCCUCCUGCAGUCGGGUCCCCAGCGGGUGAGCCGGGCGCAGGUGGACCUGACCGAGGAGGCGGCCGGAGCCCCUGCGGGUGAGGCGGGAGCGGCGAGCAGGAGGGCUGACUCAGAAGGUUUAUUUGCAGCGCUGGCGGGGCGGACAAUUGGCGGCCUCGGGGU
Molecule: long non-coding RNA, 1029 nt
Filed under: Homo sapiens (human)
Lineage: Eukaryota; Metazoa; Chordata; Mammalia; Primates; Hominidae
Description: HSALNT0122078
Source: RNAcentral